UCCUUAUCUGCAACUUUCUCUCACCUGCACUUUCAUCAGCCGGCUGGUGUAGGACUUGAAGUAAGACAGAUACACUUUACUCAUAGUCUCCACAUACACAGCCUGGAU
Molecule: long non-coding RNA, 108 nt
Organism: Nanorana parkeri
Lineage: Eukaryota; Metazoa; Chordata; Amphibia; Anura; Dicroglossidae
Exons: 4
Source: RefSeq, a predicted model, not a curated record